RNAcentral lists this long non-coding RNA (703 nucleotides) under Brassica rapa (field mustard). Its description in RNAcentral is "long non-coding RNA (BRAP_LNC001944)". Lineage: Eukaryota; Viridiplantae; Streptophyta; Magnoliopsida; Brassicales; Brassicaceae. The record is from RNAcentral.
UCUUACCAGCCGCGUUGAACAGACAGGAGGGUUUUGAAGAAACCAAGCAAGAACACUGCUUCCAACGUCUUAGUGUGCAUAUAGAGGUUGUGUAUGUUCUGUAAUAUAUUUUGAUGGGUAACAAAUAACAAUAUGUUUAUGAACCAACAAAAUAAAUGAGAAUAGUGUUCAAGAAAUAUAACAUAGUAGUGAGUACCACUUAUAUUCAGAUAUAGGUGAAGUCCAAACAUCUGAAUUUAACCAACUCAAAUGGAUAAGGUACGAUGAUAUUACAGCAAAUCAGAAGUUUCCUUUGAUUUCAAAAAAUAAACUGAGAUGAAAAUAAGGAACGAAUGUAAGCAUAUUAUUGAUGUGGCCGAAUUUUUUUUUGGUCAGUACACUAUACAUUUGAUUUUGUGAAAUUAUGACUAAUUUUUUUUCUCUGAAAAUUCAUUAAUAGUAGAAAUUGUGAUGAAGUAUCUGCAUCAAAUUGUCACCCAAAACAAAACGGUGGCGCGGCGUGUUUGGACAUUGCUCGAGAAUUUUGAUUAUCUGUUAGGACUUACAGUGCGUAAAGACAUACCUGCAGUGUUGAGUCGAUUGUUCCCCUGGGUUCUUAAGAUAAUAUGGAAAAACAAAAAUACUUUCGCUUUUGAAGAGAAGGUAUUUGAUGUUAGUGAUACGGUGAAUAAAAUGCAUGAGGAAGCUAGGCAAUGGUUUGAAG